AUUAAAGUGGUACGCGAGCUGGGUUUAGAACGUCGUGAGACAGUUCGGUCCCUAUCUGCCGUGGGUGUAGGAUACUUGAAAGGAUUUGUCCUUAGUACGAGAGGACCGGGAUGAACAUACCUCUGGUGUACCAGUUGUUUCGCCAGAAGCAACGCUGGGUAGCUAAGUAUGGAAGGGAUAACCGCUGAAUGCAUCUAAGCGGGAAACCCACCUUGAAACUAGGUAUCCCAAUUAAGACCGUGGUAGACCACCACGUUGAUAGGUUGGGUGUGUAAGCACAGCAAUGUGUUUAGCUAACCAAUACUAAUAGUCUGAUUGGCUUGAUUUA
Azospirillum sp. CAG:260 is the source of this 328-nucleotide non-coding RNA. The record is from Rfam. Lineage: Bacteria; Pseudomonadati; Pseudomonadota; Alphaproteobacteria; Rhodospirillales; Azospirillaceae.